UUAGUGUAAGUGGAUUCCUCCCCUUAAUAAAUUAUAGCACAUAGAUUUUGAGAUAUAAUGAAGAUUUCAAAUAUUGAAGCGCACACAAUAUUAUUUUAAGUUCGAUUCUCAUUAUUUGUAGCUGCGACGUGUGAAUCCCACUCUCGUUAUAUUUUUAUACCAGUGAAAACCGGAACCAGUCAAUUGUUACUGGAUAAAUUUUUUAAGAUGAAUUUUUUCUAUACAAGUGUUGGUAUUCACCAUACUCCCAUCAUUAUAUUUAAAGGGAGAUGUCAUAAAUAAAGGCUUAUGUUGCCCCUAGAAACUCAAAUACCUAUAAAUUCUAACUAGUUGAAUUAAAUGAAAGUUGUUAAAGGUGAAGGUUUUAAUAAUAUAAAAUUACAAUGGAUAAUUAGAUUUAUCUUUUUAAUUAAUU
This 415-nucleotide long non-coding RNA is filed under the name Gossypium barbadense (sea-island cotton). Its description in RNAcentral is "long non-coding RNA (GBAR_LNC011968)". The record is from RNAcentral. Lineage: Eukaryota; Viridiplantae; Streptophyta; Magnoliopsida; Malvales; Malvaceae.